Molecule: long non-coding RNA, 1806 nt
Filed under: Homo sapiens (human)
Lineage: Eukaryota; Metazoa; Chordata; Mammalia; Primates; Hominidae
Description: HSALNT0271911
Source: RNAcentral
UUUGCCAUGUUGGUCUGUCUGGUCUCAAGUUCCUGGCCUCAUUGAUCUGCCUGCCUUGAGCUCCCGAAGUGUUGAGAUUACAGGCAUGAGCCACCAUUCCUGACCAGCUAUAUGUAUUUUAAAUGGCUUGUGGAUUUGUCAUAACUGCUCAACUUUGCCACUGUAAUAGAAUCCACACUAACCACUUCAUAAUCCUUCUUAAGGACAACCAUGUCCUGGUGGGCCUCGGAAAACUCUCCUUCCUCCACCCGUUCACCCACGGAAUACUGAACAAAGGAACUUGGCAUACAUCAGGCUACUCAAGUGAAGCAGUAGAAGUGGACAAGGAACAAAAAAAUCUACUCACAGCUGGAGAAAAUUUGUGUCAAGAUGAAUCAUGUUUUGAAUCUUCUCUCAUGUCAGAUUUAGAUAACUGUUUGGACUAUGGACCUCUUAGUUGAUGCUGGAAAGUGUUAAGAUUUUGGGGACUAUUAAGGUGAAAUAAAUGUAUUUUGCAUGUGAGAAAGACAUUAAUUUUGGGGGCUGUGGUGGAGAGCUAUGGCUUGAAUGUGUCCCCUAAGAAGCAUGUGUUGGAAACUUAAUCCCCAGUGCAACAGUGUUGGAAAGUUGGGCGUAAGAAAAGAUGUUUAUGUCAUAAGGGCUCCACCCACAUGAAUGCAUUAUUACUGAUUGUUAAAAGGCUUGAGGCUGCAAGUUUGAUCUCUCUCAUACACAAGCAUAUGUGGUUUCUUGCUCUUCUGUCUUUCACCAUGGGAUGGCUCAGUGAGAAGACUCUAACCAGAUGUAGGCCCCCUUGACUUUGAACUUCUCAGCCUCUCGAGCUGUAAGAAAUAAAUCACUGCUUUUUAAAUAAAUUAUCCAGUUUCAGAUAUUCUUUUGUAGCAGCAAAAAAUGGACUAUGACAUGGAGCUUUAAGAGACAUCUGAUAAAAAUAAAAUUUAAGUGAAAACGUGGGCAGAUAGGAUGAGAACCUGUCCCAUGAAAAAACCCUGUGUAGUCACUAGGUGAGAGAAGAAAUUCAGAACACCAUGUCUUCACUCUAUAUGUGUACAUCCUAGAGAUGAAGAAUUAUAGAUUAAAAAACCAAAAUUACUAUUUAAUUAUUUUGUAUAACAAAAUGAGACACUACCAUCACUUUUUGAGACACUUAUAUCUAUGUCAACCAAAAAGCAAAUCCCAAUUUUUCCUCCCCAUACAACAGACCAUCACAUAAACUCCGCCCUGUGAGGGCCCAGGCCAUCUAAUUACAGCAUUGCAGCUAUCACAACUAAGCCAAGUAUCUCAGGAGAAAAAAAGCUACCUGUUUCUAGCCACACAAUUAAGCCAUGUAAACACAUGUCAUACUUUGUGUCAAAGCAGUGAUAGUAUCAGUUACUUAGAGAUGAAUAACUGGUGCUUGGGACUGGAGCAGCCUUGAGACAAGAAUAUCACUCAUCAGUCCCAAAGAAAUGGCAGAGGAGGAACCAUGGCUGGAAAAGCAGACGCUAUAGUGGAAGACAACCUUUUAGGCUUCCUCAAAAGCCUGGAGUUGGGGUAUCUUGCUGGUAAUUGAAAUUCCUAUGUAAAAUGUUGGAAUAAAGAAUAAAGUUAAUUUGGGUGUGUUCUAUUUUUUCCACAUAAACUUGCAAGUUAGACCCACAGUUUUUGCUUAUGUAUCAAUGUUAUAAUAUGCUACUUUAACACUAGUGCUAGUUUAUUAAUCCUAUGAGUUCAACUGUGUAAUUUUCAUUUUUUUGCUGUGUUUUGUAGGAUUUUAUGUAGUUUAAUGUUUUCCUCCAUAUCUGAAAUAAAAUUUAAAAAAGUGUG